UCUCCAUGGCAAUUGCUAUUCGCUGCAGCGGAGCAUCGUCGGAUCUUUACCACAGAUGAUCUCUUUGAAACAAUCGUCCUGCUAGCAAUUGUUUUCCUUCAGUUUUAUACUAAUAUUUUGUUUUGUUUUGCACAGUUACUUUGCUGAAUACUUGCCAGUGCGUGAAUAGGAAACAAAGACACGGAAUGGAUCAGUACAGUAUUCUGGGAAGGAUUGGGGAAGGAGCUCACGGGAUUGUUUUCAAAGCCAAACACAUCGAGACAGGAGAGACGGUGGCUUUGAAAAAAGUUGCUCUGCGAAGACUUGAAGAUGGUAUUCCGAACCAGGCCCUACGAGAAAUCAAAGCCCUGCAAGAGAUUGAGGACAACCAAUAUGUGGUGAAGCUGAAGGAUGUCUUCCCUCACGGCACAGGCUUUGUGCUGGUGUUUGAGUACAUGUUGUCAGAUCUGUCAGAAGUCAUUCGGAAUUCCCAGCGUCCUCUCACCGCAUCCCAGGUCAAAGGUUACAUGAUGAUGCUGCUGAAAGGAGUGGCUUUCUGCCACGAGAACUCCAUCAUGCACCGGGAUCUAAAGCCUGCAAACCUUCUAAUCAGCUCGACGGGUCACCUGAAGAUCGCUGACUUCGGUCUGGCCAGGCUCUUUUCCAAUGAAGGAGAUCGUCUGUACAGUCACCAGGUGGCCACCAGAUGGUACAGAUCACCCGAACUUUUGUAUGGUGCCCGGAAAUAUGAUGAAGGAGUUGAUCUCUGGGCAGUGGGCUGCAUUUUUGGGGAGCUGUUGAAUAACUCUCCGCUUUUCCCUGGAGAGAAUGACAUUGAGCAGUUGUGCUGUGUUUUACGAGUGCUGGGAACUCCCAACCAGAAAGUUUGGCCAGAAAUAACAGAACUACCAGACUACAAUAAAAUCACGUUUAAAGAAAACCCCCCCAUUCCUUUGGAGGAGAUCGUGCCUGACACGUCACCACAAGCUGUGGACCUGCUGAAGAAGUUCCUCGUCUAUCCAUCCAAACAGAGGAUCAGUGCUAGACAGGCUUUGCUCCAUCCGUAUUUCUUCACGGACCCUCUCCCGGCUCAUCACUCAGAGCUGCCCAUCCCUCAGCAUGGAGGAAAGCACUCCAGACAGCGCAUGCAACCUCCUUAUGAAUUCACAGUGGAUCAACCUUUACACGAGAGCUUGGUGGACCCCAGUCUGAUCCAGAGACAUGCGCAGAGUUUUUUGUGACAGCGUGAAAGUCAAUGGGGUCCAAAGUUGUUUGUAUCCCAACGUUCUUCGAAAUGUCUUCUUUUGUGCUCCACAAAAGAAAGUCGUACAGGUUUGGAAUGACAUGAGGUGCAGACUGAUGUGGCAUAUUUCCAGACUUUUUUUGUGCAUUUGCACUUACGAGACACCCCAUUUGCUGAAGCUGACCUGUCUGUGGCUCCGCCCACUGUCCCCACAUGUCUAACCUCAAUCACUCAGAGCACAGAAGUCUUCACACAUAAAGUUCUGAGCCAUCAGCGGUGCUCAUCUUCGUCACAGACACCUGUCCUGAAGACUGAACAGAUAAGCUCAGGAGUUCCUGACAGACAUGGAGACCUCCGCUGAACAGGCUCGCUGGGUUUCCUCCUCCAUGGUAUCAUCAGAGGUGAUGCCCA
Molecule: RNA transcript, 1633 nt
Organism: Sinocyclocheilus rhinocerous
Lineage: Eukaryota; Metazoa; Chordata; Actinopteri; Cypriniformes; Cyprinidae
Gene name: cyclin-dependent kinase 20
Exons: 11
Source: RefSeq, a predicted model, not a curated record